This 807-nucleotide ribosomal RNA is filed under the name Triticum aestivum (bread wheat). RNAcentral describes it as "partial small subunit ribosomal RNA". Lineage: Eukaryota; Viridiplantae; Streptophyta; Magnoliopsida; Poales; Poaceae. The record is from RNAcentral.
UUCCAAGGGGCAAUGAACACAGAUCUAACUCCAGUUCUGAGAGGAGAAGAUCCUUGUGCACUGUGUUUCUUUGAUGAUAUCCUCAUCUUCAGUAAAACCUUGAAAGAACACUUUAUACAUUUGGAGAAGGUGCUGAGUAUUCUGUUGGAAAAACAAUGGAGAGUGAAGUUGAGCAAGUGUGACUUUGCUAAACAAGAAAUUGCUUAUCUGGGCCAUGUUAUUAGCAAUGAAGGAGUUUCAACAGAUGCUAGCAAAAUUGCAACUGUUAAGAGUUGGCCAGUGCCUACUGAUGUGAAGCAAGUCAGAGGAUUUCUGGGCUUAACUGGGUACUACAGGAAGUUUACCAGGAACUAUGGGAUGAUCAGUAGACCAUUAACUGAUCUGUUGAAAAAGGGGGCUAUCUUUGUGUGGACACCAGCUACAGAGAUAUCUUUCCAAACUCUGAAGCAAGCUCUUAUUCAUGCUCCUGUCUUGGCAUUACCUGAUUUUUCUAAGCAAUUUGUGGUUGAAACUGAUGCUUGUGAUGUUGGGAUUGGUGUUGUUCUGAUGCAGCAGGACCACCCCAUUGCUUUUGUCAGCAGAGCUCUAGGUCCUAGGAACAGAGGGUUAUCUGUUUAUGAGAAGGAGUAUCUAGCUAUAUUGUUAGCUAUUGAGCAGUGGAGACCAUACUUACAGUUCCAAGAGUUCAUUAUCAGGAUAGAUCAAAAAAGUUUGGUGAAUCUUCCUGAUCAGAGACUGCAUACACCCUGGCAACAAAAAGCUCUCACAAAAAUGAUGGGAUUGAAUUAUAAGAUUGUUUACAAGAAG